Molecule: ribosomal RNA, 250 nt
Filed under: uncultured Chroococcidiopsis sp.
Lineage: Bacteria; Bacillati; Cyanobacteriota; Cyanophyceae; Chroococcidiopsidales; Chroococcidiopsidaceae
Description: partial 16S ribosomal RNA
Rfam family: Bacterial small subunit ribosomal RNA
Source: RNAcentral
CUAGCCGUAAACGAUGGAUACUAGGCGUUGUGAGUAUCGACCCUCACAGUGUCGUAGCUAACGCGUUAAGUAUCCCGCCUGGGGAGUACGCGCGCAAGCGUGAAACUCAAAGGGAUUGACGAGGGCCCGCACAAGCGGUGGAGUAUGUGGUUUAAUUCGAUGCAACGCGAAGAACCUUACCAGGACUUGACAUGUCGCGAAUCUCAGGGAAACUUGAGAGUGCCUUCGGGAGCGCGAACACAGGUGGUGC